AACCAUAGAAACCUGCGGAGUACCUGGGAGGGAUCAUUAUAGUAUAUGGAAUCUCCAUUCUAUAAACCCACUCUGCGUAUCUUGUAACUGUUGCUUCCAUGGGACUUGGUUCCGCCACACCGGCUUCACGGCUGGUGAGCGCCCAUGGAAGGAGAAACAAAACUCUUCUUUGAAAUGUAGUCAGUCUGAACAAGUUUUUAUAAACGUUAAAACUUUUAACAAUGGAUCUCAGAUCGGAAG
This 240-nucleotide unclassified non-coding RNA is filed under the name soil metagenome. Its description in RNAcentral is "partial contains 5.8S ribosomal RNA, internal transcribed spacer 2, and large subunit ribosomal RNA". The record is from RNAcentral.